This 506-nucleotide long non-coding RNA is filed under the name Vigna radiata. Its description in RNAcentral is "long non-coding RNA (VRAD_LNC004460)". Lineage: Eukaryota; Viridiplantae; Streptophyta; Magnoliopsida; Fabales; Fabaceae. The record is from RNAcentral.
ACAAAUUCAAGAAAACAUUCACGUAAACGUUUACCACCAAUUUGUAAACGAUUACAACACCCUUUUUCAAUGCACUUGACUCAGGAUUUCAUCCAACUACUUUUAGUGAACACAAGACCUUCCUCAAUGGAAUUUGGGGUCUCCAAAAUCAAGUCUUCACCCGCAACACAAAACUUCAAACCAAAAACAUCAAAAACCAAUUAAAAGUUUGCCAAAAAGUGAAAAUUUUACAUCGUGGUCCCCUGUGUACAAAAAAGUGGUUCCUUUAGAAGAACUUUUUGUACAAAUUCAAGAAAACAUUCGCGUAAACGUUUACCACCAAUUUGUAAAUGAUUACAACACCCUUUUUCAAUGCACUUGACUAAGGAUUUCAUUCAACUACUUUUNGUGAACACAAGACCUUCCUCAAAGGAAUUUGGGGUCUCCAAAAUCAAUUCUCCACCCCCAACACACAACUUAAAACCAAAAACAUCAAAAACCAAUCCAAAGUUUGCCAAAAAGUGAAA